This 1139-nucleotide ribosomal RNA is filed under the name uncultured bacterium. RNAcentral's name for it is "bacterial SSU rRNA". It matches the Rfam family "Bacterial small subunit ribosomal RNA", at positions 353 to 1482 of the family's 1533-position model. The record is from RNAcentral.
AGUAGGGAAUAUUGCGCAAUGGACGAAAGUCUGACGCAGCAACGCCGCGUGGGUGAUGAAGCAUCUUGGUGUGUAAAACCCUGUCAGUGGGGAAGAACCGUACAAGUAGUAACUGACUUGUACCUGACGGUACCCGCAGAGGAAGUCCCGGCUAACUCCGUGCCAGCAGCCGCGGUAAUACGGGGGGGACGAGCGUUGUUCGGAUUUACUGGGCGUAAAGGGCGCGUAGGCGGACUUUCAAGUCGGAUGUGAAAACUGGCGGCUCAACUGCCAGCCUGCAUCCGAUACUGUUGGUCUUGAGUGCAUGAGAGGAAAGCGGAAUUCCAGGUGUAGCGGUGGAAUGCGUAGAUAUCUGGAGGAACACCAGUAGCGAAGGCGGCUUUCUGGCGUGUUACUGACGCUGAAGCGCGAAGGCUAGGGGAGCAAACAGGAUUAGAUACCCUGGUAGUCCUAGCGGUAAACGAUGGGCACUAGGUGUCGGAAGGCGUUGACCCUUUCGGUGCCGCAGCUAACGCAUUAAGUGCCCCGCCUGGGGAGUACGAUCGCAAGAUUGAAACUCAAAGGAAUUGACGGGACCCCGCACAAGCGGUGGAGUAUGUGGUUUAAUUCGAGGCAACGCGAAGAACCUUACCUGGGCUUGACAUGCUUAGGACAAUCUGUGAAAACAGACUUUCCCUUCGGGGACCUUUGCACAGGUGCUGCAUGGCUGUCGUCAGCUCGUGCCGUGAGGUGUUGGGUUAAGUCCCGCAACGAGCGCAACCCCUGUCCAUAGUUGCCAUCAGGUAACGCUGGGGACUCUAUGGAGACCGCCGGUGAUAAGCUGGAGGAAGGUGGGGACGACGUCAAGUCCUCAUGGCCCUUACGCCCAGGGCUACACACGUACUACAAUGGCCGGUACAGUAGGUCGCAAUACCGCGAGGUGGAGCUAAUCCCUAAAACCGGCCUCAGUUCAGAUUGGAGUCUGCAACUCGACUCCAUGAAGGAGGAAUCGCUAGUAAUCGCAGAUCAGCAGGCUGCGGUGAAUACGUUCCCGGGGUUUGUACACACCGCCCGUCAAGCCACGGAAGUUAGGAGCACCCGAAGUCGUUUGUCUAACCGCAAGGAGGACGGCGCCGAAGGUGAUACUGAUGACUGGGGCU